UACGUAGGGUGCAAGCGUUAAUCGGAAUUACUGGGCGUAAAGCGUGCGCAGGCGGUGAUGUAAGACAGAUGUGAAAUCCCCGGGCUCAACCUGGGAACUGCAUCUGUGACUGCAUCGCUGGAGUGCGGCAGAGGGGGAUGGAAUUCCGCGUGUAGCAGUGAAAUGCGUAGAUAUGCGGAGGAACACCGAUGGCGAAGGCAAUCCCCUGGGCCUGCACUGACGCUCAUGCACGAAAGCGUGGGGAGCAACAGG
RNAcentral lists this ribosomal RNA (252 nucleotides) under uncultured bacterium. RNAcentral's name for it is "partial 16S ribosomal RNA". It matches the Rfam family "Bacterial small subunit ribosomal RNA", at positions 524 to 775 of the family's 1533-position model. The record is from RNAcentral.